This 253-nucleotide ribosomal RNA is filed under the name uncultured bacterium. Its description in RNAcentral is "partial 16S ribosomal RNA". It matches the Rfam family "Bacterial small subunit ribosomal RNA", at positions 524 to 776 of the family's 1533-position model. The record is from RNAcentral.
UACGGAGGGUGCAAACGUUGCUCGGAAUCAUUGGGCGUAAAGGGCUCGUAGGCGGUUUGUCGCGUCGGGAGUGAAAACACCGGGCUUAACUCGGUGCUUGCUUUCGAUACGGGCAGACUGGAGGUAUGCAGGGGAGAACGGAAUUCCUGGUGUAGCGGUGAAAUGCGCAGAUAUCAGGAGGAACACCGGUGGCGAAGGCGGUUCUCUGGGCAUUACCUGACGCUGAGGAGCGAAAGUGUGGGGAGCGAACAGG